Molecule: long non-coding RNA, 827 nt
Filed under: Calidris pugnax (ruff)
Lineage: Eukaryota; Metazoa; Chordata; Aves; Charadriiformes; Scolopacidae
Description: lncRNA (ENSCPUG00000010928.1)
Source: RNAcentral
AUGCCUGUGCUCCACAGCCCGCGGCGACCCGCAGGCAGGGCGGGCCCGCUCCGCCCCCGCCAUCACGGGACCGAAGGGGGGCGGGCCUCGGCGGGGCGGGCCUCGGCAGCGCGGCCUGGGCGCCCGCCCACUGCCGGCGUCGCCUCCGUAACAGCCCCUCAGCGGUCAGCAGCGGCUGCGAGGCCCCGGGGUCCGGGGAGAAGGCCCUGCCGGGGCGGGAGGCCUGGAGGACCGGGAGGUGGUCCCGGCAGAGCAGGAGGCCGGGCCCCCGGGGCCGGGGAGAAGGCCCUGCCGGGGCGGGAGGCCUGGAGGGCCGGGAGGCCUGGAGGGCCGGGAGGUGGUCCCGGCAGAGCAGGAGGCCGCAUAUUGCUCCUCCUGAAGGAGGGUUUUCCGCCUUGUCCUCGGCGGGGCCCGCGCCUGAAACCGCUGGAAGGACUGUCUGGGGAUUCCAAGGUGUGCAGCGGUGCUGACUCCAGGUGUGGGGACUUCACACUGAUGGAAUGUCCUAUUUCAGUGGAGAACUGCCACUCCCAAGUAGAUCGCUCCACGGUCUUUAGUUUCAUCUACCCUGGUUCUUUGGUCUGCAGCAAUUUCAAUGAGAUAUUGGAGGGGAGAAAAGGCUGAAGUGAGUAAGGGCUCUUGUACAUUCUGAGUAGUGACUUGUGCCUGAUCAUUACCUACUGGUUUCUUAGACCACUGUCCAUCACUGCACACACAGUUUGGCAGGGUAGGACAUGGUGCAGCUGUCCUGAAUUAGAAGCAAGAUGUCAGCAAAUGAGUCAUUAUUUUGAGCACGGAGGAAUAAAGACUAUUCAAGCAGAAGAACA